GAUGAACGCUGGCGGCGUGCCUAAUACAUGCAAGUCGAGCGAACGGACGAGAAGCUUGCUUCUCUGAUGUUAGCGGCGGACGGGUGAGUAACACGUGGAUAACCUACCUAUAAGACUGGGAUAACUUCGGGAAACCGGAGUUAAUACCGGAUAAUAUUUUGAACCGCAUGGUUCAAAAGUGAAAGACGGUCUUGCUGUCACAUAUAGAUGGAUCCGCGCUGCAUUAGCUAGUUGGUAAGGUAACGGCUUACCAAGGCAACGAUGCAUAGCCGACCUGAGAGGGUGAUCGGCCACACUGGAACUGAGACACGGUCCAGACUCCUACGGGAGGCAGCAGUAGGGAAUCUUCCGCAAUGGGCGAAAGCCUGACGGAGCAACGCCGCGUGAGUGAUGAAGGUCUUCGGAUCGUAAAACUCUGUUAUUAGGGAAGAACAUAUGUGUAAGUAACUGUGCACAUCUUGACGGUACCUAAUCAGAAAGCCACGGCUAACUACGUGCCAGCAGCCGCGGUAAUACGUAGGUGGCAAGCGUUAUCCGGAAUUAUUGGGCGUAAAGCGCGCGUAGGCGGUUUUUUAAGUCUGAUGUGAAAGCCCACGGCUCAACCGUGGAGGGUCAUUGGAAACUGGAAAACUUGAGUGCAGAAGAGGAAAGUGGAAUUCCAUGUGUAGCGGUGAAAUGCGCAGAGAUAUGGAGGAACACCAGUGGCGAAGGCGACUUUCUGGUCUGUAACUGACGCUGAUGUGCGAAAGCGUGGGGAUCAAACAGGAUUAGAUACCCUGGUAGUCCACGCCGUAAACGAUGAGUGCUAAGUGUUAGGGGGUUUCCGCCCCUUAGUGCUGCAGCUAACGCAUUAAGCACUCCGCCUGGGGAGUACGACCGCAAGGUUGAAACUCAAAGGAAUUGACGGGGACCCGCACAAGCGGUGGAGCAUGUGGUUUAAUUCGAAGCAACGCGAAGAACCUUACCAAAUCUUGACAUCCUUUGACAACUCUAGAGAUAGAGCCUUCCCCUUCGGGGGGGCAAAGUGACAGGUGGUGCAUGGUUGUCGUCAGCUCGUGUCGUGAGAUGUUGGGUUAAGUCCCGCAACGAGCGCAACCCUUAAGCUUAGUUGCCAUCAUUAAGUUGGGCACUCUAAGUUGACUGCCGGUGACAAACCGGAGGAAGGUGGGGAUGACGUCAAAUCAUCAUGCCCCUUAUGAUUUGGGCUACACACGUGCUACAAUGGACAAUACAAAGGGCAGCGAAACCGCGAGGUCAAGCAAAUCCCAUAAAGUUGUUCUCAGUUCGGAUUGUAGUCUGCAACUCGACUACAUGAAGCUGGAAUCGCUAGUAAUCGUAGAUCAGCAUGCUACGGUGAAUACGUUCCCGGGUCU
This 1373-nucleotide ribosomal RNA is filed under the name uncultured bacterium. RNAcentral's name for it is "bacterial SSU rRNA". It matches the Rfam family "Bacterial small subunit ribosomal RNA", at positions 28 to 1381 of the family's 1533-position model. The record is from RNAcentral.